RNAcentral lists this ribosomal RNA (496 nucleotides) under uncultured bacterium. RNAcentral's name for it is "partial 16S ribosomal RNA". It matches the Rfam family "Bacterial small subunit ribosomal RNA", at positions 28 to 506 of the family's 1533-position model. The record is from RNAcentral.
GAUGAACGCUGGCGGCGUGCCUAAUACAUGCAAGUCGAGCGAACGGACCAGAAGCUUGCUUCUCUGAUUUUAUCGGCGGUCGGGUGCGUAACUCGUGGAUAACCUACCUAUCAGACUGGGAUAACUUCGGGAAACCGUAGCUAAUACCGGAUAAUAUUUUGAACCUCAUGGUUCAAAAGUUAAAUACGGUCUUUCUUUCACUUAUAGAUUGAACCGCCCUGCAUUAGUUAGUUGGUAAGGUAACGGCUUACCAAGGCAACGAUGCAUAGCCGACCUGAGAGGGUGAUCGGCCACAGUGGAAAUGGGAGAAGGAGCAAAAUCGGAAGGGAGGCAGGAGUAGGGAAUCUACGGCAAGGGGCGAAAGCGUGAAGGAGAAACGGCGCGAGAGUGAUGAAGAGCAUCGGAUCGUAAAACACUGUUAUUAGGGAAUAACAUAUGUGUAAGUAACGGGGCAAAAAUGAAAGGUACCGAAGCAGAAAGCCACGGCUAACUACGU